GAAACAAGUGUACAAAUCUGAAGUAAAGAAAACAUUACUAGGGGAGAAUCUUGAAAUAGAAAGAUGCUCAAGAUCUAAGCCAGGAACGUCUCAGGCAUGGAAUGAGCAAACAUAGCCUUUGUGUGCAAAGACCUUGGGAGUUUUCUUGGGAAUUCCAUCAAGAAGGUCUGCUCUGCCUAUCACCACAGACUCUAGUCUUCAGCUGGGGCAGAACCCCCUGUGCCUUACUAUUUGCCACUUGUCAAGUCCACAAUGAUAUUGGCAAGUCAGCACCAGGUCUGAACUCUACUCUCUUUGUGGAACGGGAACUCUUUUCAGAAGACUUUGCUUUUUCUCAUAAGCUGACCCAGAAAAUCAAGUAUCUGGCCCCUUUUACCCCUGUGAUGGAGGAGAGCAUUCUUGGGAAUAGAUGUCAAGUGAACCAACCUGUGGGAUUUACCUCUAUUAGGGAGGCGACUACUUCAUGUAAUUUUCAGUAUGCAGAGGAUUUGAGGAAAAACUUAACACCAAAAAUUUAG
This 518-nucleotide long non-coding RNA is filed under the name Callithrix jacchus (white-tufted-ear marmoset). Its description in RNAcentral is "lncRNA (ENSCJAG00000077187.1)". The record is from RNAcentral. Lineage: Eukaryota; Metazoa; Chordata; Mammalia; Primates; Cebidae.